Molecule: long non-coding RNA, 1928 nt
Filed under: Hermetia illucens (black soldier fly)
Lineage: Eukaryota; Metazoa; Arthropoda; Insecta; Diptera; Stratiomyidae
Description: uncharacterized LOC119659780, transcript variant X1
Source: RNAcentral
CAUUUCACACAUAUGCACACCGCGAGAUUUGCAAGUGAUAUCGCGACACAUCUAAUGUACACGAUACGAAAUACACCAGUGCAUUCAAAUUGUGUUUUCCAGAUAAUUCGGUUCCUGGAGAUUCCUUUGUAUCGCGGGUAUUGUUGCGUUUGCCACACUCUAAUCGGCUUCUGACUUUAGCAUCUCCUGUAAAAUACCAUGGGGUCCGAUAGCUCCUCAGACACCCAUACCUAACGCUGUAUUAAUGCCGUCCGCGAUGUCAUUGUUUCCAGCCGCAUUCAGCUUUUGUUUCCAACCACAGUCCGUUGAAAUGUCACCGUGAAUAUUGCUGUGUUGACGAUUCUCGCUGUCAGUGAACGGACGUUUGGAGUGAAAAUUGAAAUUUGCAUGGUCCUUCAAAAGACGAUACAGAAAUGAACGAUUGGUAUAUAAUAACAUAUUAAAUAAAAUCAACUAGACGCUGGAAAAUUUGAAAUAUAAGGUGCGUAUCGUAUGACAUUCGCGAUCCUGCCUAGUUCACGAUAAGAUGCGCGGUGAAUGUCGUUCACAUUGCCUUGUGUGCGUUUACCUGUCAACACGAAAUUUCGAGGAGGUGAUUUGACAUUUCGUCGCAACGUUUUUAAAUCGCAAUGCAACGACGAUCGAAAAUUGACAGCGAUCGCGGUUAGACGAAAACCACAAACGGGACACUUUGGGAGGCUCGCGAGCAUUGUGAACGUAAAACGGGGCUCAGCUAUAAUAUAACAUACGUAUUUAUGUUUGUUGGUACUGCUGCUAGGGGCGCAUCUAAUUUGACGACUCGAAAGUUUAUUCUGUGCCGCCAUCAAAAUCAAACUCGAAGGAACGACAUCCAAAUUUGCAAUAGAAGAUUGACUAAAAAGGCGAAACAAUUUUAUAGACUUUCAUUUCGUGCGAAUGAACAAUUAAUAUAUUCUAUAACAGAAUUGACGUUCAAGCAAAGCUGAAAUUUCCCGAAGAAAAGAAGUCAUCAAGUACAUUUGAUGUUUGACACAUGUACGUUUGAUGUUUGUUUGGAGUAUGUGUUUGAAUAUGACGAAGGGGAUGUGUCUCGACGCAGUGCUAGCGUUACUUUUAGAUUUACAAAAAGACGAGGAUAUUUCGGUACUACGGAAAUUUUGAAUAAUGCACCUCUGACUUCACCUAUCCACGAAUAACAUCUAAGGAAAAAAUGCGUAGCAUUGUUUACGUCAGACGAUACACGAAAAUAAUAGUUAUUAGAUGACAAAACCAUUAGAGCCGACACCGACACUAUGGAAAUUAGCGCAUAUUAUGAUCGAUUUGCACAACUUUUCGGAAAAGUAGCUAUUAGCUGUAAAUCAUAUUCGAAGAAGAAUGAUGGAAACGUGGCUUAACCUAUGAGCUUUUUUAGCAAAACUUGCUUGAUUUUCAUCUUAAUUUGAAGGAGCAAAAAGACUAGGAACUGUAAAGUUUAUAAAUACUUCUGAACGUUUCUAAGAAAACAAAUACAUAUGGAUUUCCGUACGAAUCUGCGAGCAUAUGGGAUAGUUGAAUAAGUUGAAUAAAUAAUCGGUUUAUAGCGAAAGCAUAUGAAAACUCGCUGCACGCUAAAAUGUUCUUAGUGGAUACUAUUAUAUUAAUUUAUAUAUACGUACAAAUAAUAGCUAGCGUUUUUGGAAUCAAAUGUUAAUCAACUGAGACUUUCAAGAUAGCAAAAGUAUUGGAGAAUUUAUCUCUAUGCAGACAAGUCAGCAAUUUUGAUUGUGAGAAGUUAUAUCAUGAAUGUCUCCUCCAUAUUAAGAACUGUUGAUCUUUCAAUAAGUGUCCAGCUAAGGGUUCACAAACCUAUUGCAUCGAGGCCGGAAGAGCGUGUACGAAUUUACUUCCUUGUUGUUCCAUGCACCUUAAUUAAAUAUAAGUAGAAAAUAAUAAAGAACCAUUGUAUAUAA